UGUUUCCUGGGCGGGUUCGCCCGCCUCCAGGACCACAUGAUAAACCUUUUUUAUGCAGUUGCAAUCAGCGUCAGUACAACAAAUGUAAAUCAUUUACAACUUUCAACAACGGAUCUCUUGGUUCUGGCAUCGAUGAAGAACGCAGCGAAAUGCGAUACGUAGUGUGAAUUGCAGAAUUCAGUGAAUCAUCGAAUCUUUGAACGCACAUUGCGCCCUUUGGUAUUCCAAAGGGCAUGCCUGUUCGAGCGUCAUUUGUACCCUCAAGCUUUGCUUGGUGUUGGGCGUUUUUUGUCUUUGGUUUUGUCCAAAGACUCGCCUUAAAACGAUUGGCAGCCGGCCUACUGGUUUCGCAGCGCAGCACAUUUUUGCGCUUGCAAUCAGCAAAAGAGGACGGCACUCCAUCAAGACUCUAUAUCACUUUUGACCUCGGAUCAGGUAGGGAUACCCGCUGAACUUAAGCAUAUCAAUAAGCGGAGGA
RNAcentral lists this ribosomal RNA (478 nucleotides) under uncultured fungus. Its description in RNAcentral is "eukaryotic LSU rRNA". The stretch from base 98 to 251 matches the Rfam family "5.8S ribosomal RNA". The record is from RNAcentral. Lineage: Eukaryota; Fungi.